Brienomyrus brachyistius is the source of this 4773-nucleotide RNA transcript. It is a transcript of the gene named C-type lectin domain family 12 member B-like, with no coding region annotated. The transcript has 8 exons. The record is from RefSeq and is a predicted model, not a curated record. NCBI's taxonomy places the organism in Eukaryota, Metazoa, Chordata, Actinopteri, Osteoglossiformes, Mormyridae.
GACCCCAGUGGGAGGUGUUGGGAGAGUCGGUGUGAGAGGAGUGGGAGCGAGCGGUGCAUCAGGGGUGCGGCACUUCGCAGACAUUUACGUCUUGGCCGUAGGUGAAGAUGGCAGGGGUAGAUGGGCAGGCAGUGAGGGAUCGCCUGUUAAAUUAGAGUAUAAAAUCAAACUAUAAAAUCCACAGAGUAUAAAAAGGUGGCGGAAGAGUAAUAACAAUAGUGAUUUGGGUAGUAAAGUUACUUUUGUGACAUUAGGCCUCUUAUUUGUUAUCCAGUACAGGAUUGAUGCAAAGAACCACAGUAGAAAAAAAUCUGCAGGGGUAUAAGACCAUGAUUUGCAAAUGAGCUACACCAUCUGGACUGGCAUCAAUAAACACUAAAUGAUACAUGCUUACAUCAGUGUGUGUGUGUGUGUGUGUGCAACUGAAAGAUAAACCACGACACUGGAAAUUUUGGUUCAGUUACUUCUCCUUUUGUAUUUGCUGAUUAGAAGCUCAUACAUUUUCUUCUCUUAGAAACUUUGGUUUGACUAUCAAGUCAGCAAGUCAGCUUAACUAAAUGUCAGCAGGUGCCAUUUAUUCGGUUGUAAAUUUAAAGAAAAAACGUCAGGACGACGCACAGGGCGAAGAUGUCGUCUACACCGAAAUUAAAUUCCCUGACUCUCUCUGCCCCCAAAACGUGUCUCAUGAUGGGAAAGCUGGGAAAGAUAAACCUGGAUCACACCCCCAUCCCUACAGACUGACUGUAGUUGGCCUGGUGAUGUUGUGUUUUCUCCUGAUCAUCUGCAUCAUUGUCCUGAGUAUCUCUUUACAUAGAGCCAACCGGAAAAGCUCAGUGAUGGAAGGGGACGUGCAGCAGCUCACGUCAAAGAACUGGAAUCUGACUAUAGAGAAGAAACAGAUACAGGAAGAAAUCAGCCAGAUAGAGCAAAACUGCAGCUCCCUGGCCAGUGACCAUAUCCAGCUGAAGGGAAACUACAGCAUCACAGCUAAAGAAAAGGAUGAGUUACAAAACAACUAUGAAGCCCUGAAAAAUAAACUACAGCACUUAUUCUGUGGCACCACUGACAUGCAGAAACCAUGUCCACUGUGCCCACAGGGCUGGGAGCUGUUCCACUCCAGCUGCUACUUUAUCUCCAAGGACCAGAAAUCAUGGAAGGACAGUCGGACUGAAUGUCUUAAGUGGGGAGCGGACCUGGUGAUUAUAGACAGCGAAGAGGAAGAAGACUUCAUUAAGAAAAAUACAUAUGAUUACUGGAUUGGACUGACAUAUAAUGCAGUGAAGAAAGAUUGGAUUUGGCUGGAUGGCACAUCUCUGACAGGUUUCCAGAAGCCAUAUUACUGGGAUGGAUACUGUGCUGUGAUCCGAAGCUGGUCUACUUCAUGGCAGCUUCAGGCUUGGACCUGCGACACAAAGGCUCGAUGGAUCUGUGAGACUAAAGCGCUGCUCCUACAUCACCUCUGAACAGCAUUAAUGUGGAGGCCGAAAAAAGUAACCAUACGGAUCAUGCAACGAAAAAGUAUGUAACCUUAACAGGCAUGUAUUCAAUCAGGUAGUAUCUCUAAAUUAGUGAAAUAGGAAAUGAAUGGUUGCCAUUUAUGGAAAAAUUUGACUGUACUUCCUUUCAAGUUUUAAGAAAAUCAUGACGUCUUUAAGCCACUGGGAGAUAGGGGGAUAUUUAGGAGACUUCCAAUGUAUCAACAAUAAACGUCUUGCUAAUAGGGACUAUAAGCUAUAACAUCCUUUUGAGUAGAGUUAAGUGCAAGUGAGCGAUCAGGAAUCCCACAUAUUGCAAUCAGAGGACAAGUGUCAAGGUAAACAGGACAGAAAGACCAGGAUCCAGGUAUGCAAGCCGAACAGCGCUUUGUUCUGGAAAACCAGACAGAAGCACCAGAAGGGACAGGCGAGAAGCAGGGUGGAAAAACAAGGGAGGGGGUCGUUAGCCAGGGGGUCAGUCCUACGAGGAGAGACGAGACAGGAACACACGGGGUUAAGGGGACGAGACGAGUUGGGGCAGGCAGGGUAGUCGGGUCAGGUGCGGGAACGGGUCUGGAACGGGAGAGAGAGAGAGGUAAGUGGAAGACACGAGGUAAACAGGCAGGGCUCGGAAGAUGGGGAAGACAAUGGACAAUAGAGUGCUUAGUAAGGCUUCGAAUCAUCAGCGCAAUACUUCGCACCGGACUGGUGAUCUCUAGCAGGUUUUAUCCCUAGCCCUGUUACUCAUAAUGAGCUGCAGCUGGGGGUGUCCUCCUGUGUGGGCGUGACAACAAGGUUGGAGAAUUAACCCAAGAACAAAUGAUAUAGCAGAAAAAUAACCCACCCAGAAAUCCUCCAGCUCAGGGCAAAGAAAAAACAUAUGGCUAAGUGUUAGAGUCGCUGGGGAGCGGGUAAUGCAGACGGGCAGGAAGCGGGCAGGAAGCGGGCAGGAAGCGGGCAGGAAGCAGGCGGAAUACGGGGUUUUAAUCGGGCACAGACCUCGACAAACAUCAAUGACGGACAAAGAACUAAUCAAGACAUGGACUGAAAUAGGCAAGACAACAGGGUACAGCUGGGUACAAUCAGGGAAGCACACGUGGAUAAUCAGGGGGGCGUGGCACACACGAGGAUCGUACGAGCCGGGCAUGACACUAAGGUGACAAGGAGAGCCGUGGCAUUUAUCACAUUUGUCUUCCACUUCCGGAAACAGUUCAGAAAGUCGAGACUUAGAGAAAUACGCCCUUUGUAUGACCUUAAAUUGAAUAAGUCCAAGACGAGCACAAGAGGUGGUAGAUAGAGGCCCUCUCUAUGGCCUGAUCCCAGAAUUCCUCAUGUAUUUGUAUUCCCAGUUCCCCUUCCCAUGUACGCUUAAGUUUAACAUUUCAGUGGUUGCCAAAAGAGAGGAUGAUGAUACACGACUUUCAGAUGAUUCCCCUGUGAUGGGGACUAAAUGAUAGCAUGGUUUCCCACAGCUGUUCAGGUGGUAAAUAGGUGGGAAACCACGGUGGCAAGUUACAAGUUAAGGUCUUUUGUUCUUGCCAGAAAGUGUAUUCCGUGACGUUUAUGCGAUUCAUUGAUCCUCCGCUAUAUCGCGGAUUUUUCCCCGAUGCCUCCCGGUUCUCUGCGUAUCGCGUACUUUGCUUGUGGUCCGAUUGUUGUCGUUUUGUCUUAAGCCCCAUGAUGGCUCCCCAGCGUCCUGCACCUUCUAAGCCUUCCGGUAGUAGUGAGCCUAAGCGCCAGAGGAAGACCUUGACUGUUCAGGAGAAGGUAAAACUCCUGGAUAUGCUUCGGGAAGGAAAGCGUUACGCGGACGGCACUCGCCAUUAUGGCUUGAAUGAAUCGACGGUACGAUACAUCAAGAAGGACGAAAAGAAUAUAAGAUCCAUAUAUGUUUUUAUUGUUACAUAUUCCAUUACGUAUACAGAGAGAGAGAUGUGUGUAUAUAUAUAUACAUAUACAUACAUUACAUAUUAUUAUUAUUAUGUUACUCAUAUCCUUAGCCAGACAUUCACAUAUCAUAUGUGUUGUUUUAAUAAGUUUACAUGUGUUUAAAACGUGUGGGAGGGGGAUUUUGAGGCUUAAACUAUAAAAAUGUCUAUAUGGUCUAUCUAUAUGGCGGAUUUUCACCUAUCGCUGAUGGGUCUGGACCGCAUCUUCCGCGAUAGGUGGGGGGGGGGGUCACUGUAUAAUCGUGUGUGGUUUUGCUCAGCAGGGAGAGGCCAAGUGUUAUACUUGCCGUAGCUAUGUGCUACCAUAAGAUGGUGCUUAAUCUUCUCCAAAACUAUUGUAAAAAUCAUAAAAGCAGCCCAGUAUUUACAUUCCUCUUCAAUAAAAAUGCUCAGGCUGAAGAAGCAAUACAUGUAAGUAAUGUUAACUAUAUCUGUUAUUUCAACUGAUUGGUGUAUUAUUAUUUUAUGCUUUGAUGUCCAACCAUACACAGUACAAAGAGUGACUCAGGAUUAUCCAGCAGUUGAAGGAGAUCUACAGAAGAUCACAAAGGGGGUUUUCUUCUUUGAUAUUGCAUCUCUAACCCAUUACUGGUCUAAUUCUCUGUGAAAAUGUACCAAAGUUUAGAAAAUCAGGGCAAAUCCUUUUUCGGAGUGCAGUGUUGUCAGCUCCAUAGCUGUUCAUUGUUUGUGGCUGUUUAGGAGGAUGUCGGGGGCAGUGGGAUGUGGAUGAGCUAAAAAAGAGAAUUUAUCCAUUACCAAUGAUUGGCUGGGGACAAAUGGAGACAAGAAGGCCCAGUGGAUUUGGUCUUCACUUGAGUGAGGUCACUGAGUGCUGCCCAGUUGAUUAUCAUCUAUUUCAUGACCCCCUAAUGGUGGAACGAGCUGCUGAACCACAUCUGGUCAUCAGACUCCCUCUCCACCUUCAAGAAACGACUCGACUCAUCAGUCCCAGGAAUUCCUCUGCCAGCUUAAUACCACUCUGUGUUCCCUGAAUGCUCUUAAUAUUUGAAUGAAUAACUGAAUAGUCCUUUUAUUGGGCCCUUGCUUUGCUUGGGGAAUGUUGUGUAGCUCCUGCCCCAGUUCUGCUUACACUUGUUUCCAGGCCUUCAUUGGAAGCUCUGCCUAGUCACACUUAUGCCUGUAGUUGACUGUAGUUGACUGUAAUUGACUCCUUGACAGCUACUAUGUUUGUAAUUCUAUUCUCAUUUUUACAUCGCUUUGGAGAUAAGAGUCUGCUAAAUGAAAUUAACGUAAAUGUAAUCUAUCUUAUAUUGUGUUGACUCAUGUUUAAGUUCUUCUAAAUAAACACGCCUGCAUGUUGUGAUAAAAAUGUGAUAUAUACACAUUAA